Molecule: transfer RNA, 76 nt
Filed under: Acidobacteriota bacterium
Lineage: Bacteria; Pseudomonadati; Acidobacteriota
Description: Acidobacteria bacterium (groundwater metagenome) tRNA-Thr
Rfam family: tRNA
About the family: Transfer RNA (tRNA) molecules are approximately 80 nucleotides in length. Their secondary structure includes four short double-helical elements and three loops (D, anti-codon, and T loops).
Source: RNAcentral
GCCUGGGUAGCUCAGGUGGUAGAGCGCGUCCUUGGUAAGGACGAGGUCACCGGUUCAAACCCGGUCCCAGGCUCCA